Molecule: non-coding RNA, 802 nt
Organism: Drosophila virilis
Lineage: Eukaryota; Metazoa; Arthropoda; Insecta; Diptera; Drosophilidae
Source: RefSeq, a predicted model, not a curated record
AAUGUUAAGUUAUGCUCGUAAAUUCUAGAUCAAAAUGUCAAUGUGAAAAUCAAAAAAAAUAUUCAAUUCGAUACAAAUCAAAAAUAUAAACAUAUAUGGGUUAUGGGUUCGAAAAUAUCUGCUUCUAUGCUUUACACAUCCGUUGUUAAUCGAAUAAAGCAUCAACUGCUUGUAUACUAAAUACUUUAUAGAAAGUAAUGAAAGAGUAUGUAAAUACCCAAUGUGAAGACAGAAGACAACAGCAUUGAGACGGGUUGCUGCAGCUUCUCAUUAUUGAUAGCUGUCCAUUUAUCAUGCCGACUAUUUUAUCUAUAUUUCACCCACCCUUGCCCAAACACCUGAUAAGCGUUCCAAAAGUCAACGAUCUUGAGCUUGGUGUCGCAUUGCCCACUUUUUCAGCUGUUACUUGAACGUUAUGGGAUUGCUCACAGCACUAUUUAUAGAAUAGCAUGACUUUGGAACAGGUAGUUGCAUGAUUUCAUACACCCAAAUGAGCAAUGCAAACAAAUAAGCAAAUGGAAUGGCAAAAAUGCUAUACUUAACGCUUCACCGGACAAAUGGGAGGGAUGUUAAACUAUAGAGAAUGCAUAAACAGGCAUGGGAAUCAAAUGGCUAAAGUUACGCCCCACUGGGGCGUAACAGCUCACGAUUGGCAUGAGAAAGCAGAAAAAUAAUGCUAACAUACUUUACUGCAUCUACUAAGUGUACAAGUUACAAGUUCACAAUAUAAAUAUAUAUUUUAUAUUGACAAAUAAAUAUAGUACAACUUAACAUCUUUUCAUAACCUUAUGACAAAUGGAAA